CCUACGGGAGGCAGCAGUAAGGAAUCUUCCACAAUGGACGAAAGUCUGAUGGAGCAACGCCGCGUGCAGGAUGAAGGCUUUCGGGUCGUAAACUGCUUUUAUAUGGGAAGAUUAUGACGGUACCAUAUGAAUAAGGACCGGCUAACUACGUGCCAGCAGCCGCGGUAAUACGUAGGGUCCAAGCGAUGUCCGGAAUUACUGGGCGUAAAGCGUGUGUAGGUGGAUUAAUAAGUGUGAUGCGAAAUCCGGCGGCUCAACCGUUUGGACUGUGUCGCAUACUGUUAGUCUAGAGGACGGCAGAGGUAAGUGGAAUUACGGGUGUAGCAGUGAAAUGCGUAGAUAUCCGUAGGAACACCAAUGGCGAAGGCAGCUUACUGGGCCACACCUGACACUGAGACACGAAAGCGUGGGGAGCGAACAGGAUUAGAUACCCUGGUAGUCCACGCCGUAAACGAUGCAUACUAUUAGUAUGGGGUAUCGACCCCCUGUGCUGAGAAGCUAACGCGAUAAGUAUGCCGCCUGGGGAGUACGAGCGCAAGCUUAAAACUCAAAGGAAUUGACGG
RNAcentral lists this ribosomal RNA (563 nucleotides) under uncultured bacterium. RNAcentral describes it as "bacterial SSU rRNA". It matches the Rfam family "Bacterial small subunit ribosomal RNA", at positions 338 to 916 of the family's 1533-position model. The record is from RNAcentral.